GUGGGGAAUAUUGGACAAUGGGCGAAAGCCUGAUCCAGCCAUGCCGCGUGUGUGAAGAAGGUCUUCGGAUUGUAAAGCACUUUAAGUUGGGAGGAAGGGCAGUAAGUUAAUACCUUGCUGUUUUGACGUUACCAACAGAAUAAGCACCGGCUAACUUCGUGCCAGCAGCCGCGGUAAUACGAAGGGUGCAAGCGUGAAUCGGAAUUACUGGGCGUAAAGCGCGCGUAGGUGGUUUUGUAAGUUGGAGGUGAAAUCCCCGGGCUCGACCUGGGAACUGCCUCCACAACUGCAUGACUAGAGUACGGUAGAGGGUAGUGGAAUUUCCUGUGUAGCGGUGAAAUGCGUAGAUAUAGGAAGGAACACCAGUGGCGAAGGCGACUACCUGGACUGAUACUGACACUGAGGUGCGAAAGCGUAGGGAGCAAACAGGAUUAGAAACCCGUGUAGUCC
RNAcentral lists this ribosomal RNA (450 nucleotides) under uncultured bacterium. Its description in RNAcentral is "bacterial SSU rRNA". It matches the Rfam family "Bacterial small subunit ribosomal RNA", at positions 354 to 796 of the family's 1533-position model. The record is from RNAcentral.